GACGAACGCUGGCGGCGUGCCUAACACAUGCAAGUCGAGCGGACAGGCCCUGCUCUUGUGGGGUGCUCGAGUGGCGAACGGGUGAGAAACACGUGUGUAACCUGUCCUUGUCUUUGGGAUAACUUCAUGAAACAUGGGCUCAUACCGGAUAGGAUCUCCUGCUGCAUGGUGGGCGUUGGUUAGAUUCGGCGGUUGGGGAUGGACUCGCGGCUUAUCGGCUUGAUGGUGGGGUAGUGGCUUACCAAGGCUAUGACGGGUAGCCGACCUGGGAGGGCUACCGGCGACAUUAGGCCUGGGAUACGGCGCAGACGGCAAUGGGAGGCAACGGGGGAGAGUAUGACACAAUAGGCGGGAGCCAGAUCCAACAAAGCCGCGUGCGGGAAGACGGGCUUCGGGUUGUGAACCGAUGUCGCCUGAGAUGAGGAGUGAGUGACGGUACUGGGUAAAGAAGCACCGGCUAACUACGUG
RNAcentral lists this ribosomal RNA (468 nucleotides) under uncultured bacterium. RNAcentral's name for it is "partial 16S ribosomal RNA". It matches the Rfam family "Bacterial small subunit ribosomal RNA", at positions 28 to 507 of the family's 1533-position model. The record is from RNAcentral.